UAGGUGCUGCAAGAGUCUGGAAAUCCCC
This 28-nucleotide non-coding RNA is filed under the name Mus musculus (house mouse). The record is from RNAcentral. Lineage: Eukaryota; Metazoa; Chordata; Mammalia; Rodentia; Muridae.